RNAcentral lists this small nuclear RNA (156 nucleotides) under Zalophus californianus (California sea lion). Its description in RNAcentral is "U4 spliceosomal RNA (ENSZCAG00015014961.1)". The stretch from base 1 to 77 matches the Rfam family "U4 spliceosomal RNA". The record is from RNAcentral. Lineage: Eukaryota; Metazoa; Chordata; Mammalia; Carnivora; Otariidae.
AGCUUUGUGCGGUGGCAGUAUUGUAGCUGAUGAGGUUUAUCCAAGGCACAAUUAUUGUUAAUUGAAAAGUGUUCUUUGGCAUCAGUGGAUUCCCUGCUUUUGAGUUAGGCGCUGUUUAGUCUCUCUGGGAUGGCAGGGAAACCUGCCCACUGGGGG